Molecule: ribosomal RNA, 525 nt
Filed under: Bolitoglossa qeqom
Lineage: Eukaryota; Metazoa; Chordata; Amphibia; Caudata; Plethodontidae
Description: Bolitoglossa sp. n. HD-2021 partial large subunit ribosomal RNA
Rfam family: Bacterial large subunit ribosomal RNA
Source: RNAcentral
GGGGAUGNUCGAACGGGAAGUCCUGCCUGCCCAAUGACCUGUUUUAAUGGCCGCGGUAUUAUGACCGUGCAAAGGUAGCGUAAUCAUUUGUCUUUUAAAUAAAGACCAGUAUGAACGGCAAGACGAAAGCCUCGCUGUCUCCCUAGCCUAAUCAAUGAAAUUGAUCUCCUCGUGCAGAAGCGAGGAUGAGAGUAUAAGACGAGAAGACCCUGUGGAGCUUUAAACUAGAACUAACAAUUACAAAUGCUUUAGUUACAAGUUUUAGGUUGGGGCGACCAUGAGGUAUAACGCAACCCUCACGACAAUAACAAAGAAAGACACUUCAAAUAUUAACACAUAUGACCCAAUAAUUGACCAACGAACCAAGUUACCCCAGGGAUAACAGCGCAAUCUACUCAAAGAGUCCAUAUCGACGAGCAGGUUUACGACCUCGAUGUUGGAUCAGGACCCCCAAAUAGCGCAACAGCUAUUAAAGGUUCGUUUGUUCAACGAUUAAAGUCCUACGUGAUCUGAGUCCAGACCGGA